Molecule: ribosomal RNA, 192 nt
Filed under: Triticum aestivum (bread wheat)
Lineage: Eukaryota; Viridiplantae; Streptophyta; Magnoliopsida; Poales; Poaceae
Description: partial small subunit ribosomal RNA
Source: RNAcentral
AUGAACGGCAGGGUGACCCUGGAUCAGGGUUGGGCCACGUACGCAACCGUUCAUCAGAUCAAGAUCGGCUACAUGGUGACGUUCAAGCUCCUCACUCCCGACACCCUCAAGGUCAUCAUCUUCGACGACGAUGGCAUUGAGAUCGUCAACAAGUGCGGGAAGCACGACGAAGCCUUCGCCGCCAAGGAGUAG